RNAcentral lists this ribosomal RNA (151 nucleotides) under uncultured bacterium. RNAcentral describes it as "partial 16S ribosomal RNA". It matches the Rfam family "Bacterial small subunit ribosomal RNA", at positions 196 to 334 of the family's 1533-position model. The record is from RNAcentral.
CAGGAGUAAAGGUGGCCUCUUCAUGAAAGCUACCGUGUAGGGAUGAGCCUGCGUACCAUUAGCUAGUAGGUGGGGUAAUGGCCCACCUAGGCUACGAUGGUUAGCGGGUCUGAGAGGAUGAUCCGCCACACUGGAACUGAACACGGACCAG